UGGGUGCUGGUUGAAUGGGUGGUUCAUC
Molecule: non-coding RNA, 28 nt
Filed under: Mus musculus (house mouse)
Lineage: Eukaryota; Metazoa; Chordata; Mammalia; Rodentia; Muridae
Source: RNAcentral